UUUAAUAUGGCAGAAUAUAUGCAUUGGCAUUAAGAGCCAUGUAUGAAAUUUAAACAUUUCUAUUAAAA
RNAcentral lists this transfer RNA (68 nucleotides) under Tetraponera rufonigra. RNAcentral's name for it is "tRNA-Leu". The record is from RNAcentral. Lineage: Eukaryota; Metazoa; Arthropoda; Insecta; Hymenoptera; Formicidae.